AUCUAGUUGAUGAGUCUCAGACGGGACGAAAUGUACGUCCUAGAU
This 45-nucleotide non-coding RNA is filed under the name Schistosoma curassoni. Lineage: Eukaryota; Metazoa; Platyhelminthes; Trematoda; Strigeidida; Schistosomatidae. The record is from RNAcentral.